AGAGCGAACGCUGGCGGCGUGCUUAACACAUGCAAGUCGAGUGCGCGCCUGUAGCAAUACAGGUGGCGCACGGCGCACGGGUACGUAACACGUGGGUAAUCUGCCCUUCGAAGGGGAAUAACUCGCCGAAAGGCGAGCUAAUUCCGCAUAACAUUCCGAGAACUUCCGUUUUCGGAUUCAAAGGCGUAAGUCGUCGGAGGAGGAGCCCGCGCACGAUUAGCUAGUUGGUGAGGUAAUGGCUCACCAAGGCUAUGAUCGUUAGC
RNAcentral lists this ribosomal RNA (263 nucleotides) under uncultured bacterium. Its description in RNAcentral is "partial small subunit ribosomal RNA". It matches the Rfam family "Bacterial small subunit ribosomal RNA", at positions 26 to 287 of the family's 1533-position model. The record is from RNAcentral.